GGUUGGUCCCAGUGCAGUGGUAUUUACAACUAAUGGAUCAUAACCAGUUACAGGCUUAUUUCUUCCUUCUCCACUCUCAUUGCUUCACUUGACUAGCCUGGA
This is an unclassified non-coding RNA of Macaca nemestrina (pig-tailed macaque), 102 nucleotides long. It matches the Rfam family "Y RNA". From Rfam's summary of the family: Y RNAs are components of the Ro ribonucleoprotein particle (Ro RNP), in association with Ro60 and La proteins. NCBI's taxonomy places the organism in Eukaryota, Metazoa, Chordata, Mammalia, Primates, Cercopithecidae. The record is from Ensembl.